This 1491-nucleotide ribosomal RNA is filed under the name Loigolactobacillus coryniformis. Its description in RNAcentral is "bacterial SSU rRNA". It matches the Rfam family "Bacterial small subunit ribosomal RNA". Lineage: Bacteria; Bacillati; Bacillota; Bacilli; Lactobacillales; Lactobacillaceae. The record is from RNAcentral.
GACGAACGCUGGCGGCGUGCCUAAUACAUGCAAGUCGAACGCACUGACGUCGACCGAAGCUGCUUGCAGUGGACGUUGAUUGACGUGAAUGGCGGACGGGUGAGUAACACGUGGGUAACCUACCCUUAAGCGGGGGAUAACAUUUGGAAACAGAUGCUAAUACCGCAUAACCAUUCAGACCACAUGGUCUGAAUGUAAAAGACGGCCUUUGGCUGUCACUUUUGGACGGACCCGCGGCGUAUUAGUUAGUUGGUAAGGUAACGGCUUACCAAGACAAUGAUACGUAGCCGACCUGAGAGGGUAAUCGGCCACAUUGGGACUGAGACACGGCCCAAACUCCUACGGGAGGCAGCAGUAGGGAAUCUUCCACAAUGGACGAAAGUCUGAUGGAGCAACGCCGCGUGAGUGAAGAAGGUUUUAGGAUCGUAAAACUCUGUUGUUGGAGAAGAACAGGGACUAGAGUAACUGUUAGUCCUUUGACGGUAUCCAACCAGAAAGCCACGGCUAACUACGUGCCAGCAGCCGCGGUAAUACGUAGGUGGCAAGCGUUGUCCGGAUUUAUUGGGCGUAAAGCGAGCGCAGGCGGUUUUUUAAGUCUGAUGUGAAAGCCUUCGGCUUAACCGAAGAAGUGCAUUAGAAACUGGGAAACUUGAGUGCAGAAGAGGACAGUGGAACUCCAUGUGUAGCGGUGAAAUGCGUAGAUAUAUGGAAGAACACCAGUGGCGAAGGCGGCUGUCUGGUCUGUAACUGACGCUGAGGCUCGAAAGUAUGGGGAGCGAACAGGAUUAGAUACCCUGGUAGUCCAUACCGUAAACGAUGAAUGCUAAGUGUUGGAGGGUUUCCGCCCUUCAGUGCUGCAGCUAACGCAUUAAGCAUUCCGCCUGGGGAGUACGACCGCAAGGUUGAAACUCAAAGGAAUUGACGGGGGCCCGCCAAGCGGUGGAGCAUGUGGUUUAAUUCGAAGCAACGCGAAGAACCUUACCAGGUCUUGACAUCCUUUGACCACUGUAGAGAUACAGCUUUCCCUUCGGGGACAAAGUGACAGGUGGUGCAUGGUUGUCGUCAGCUCGUGUCGUGAGAUGUUGGGUUAAGUCCCGCAACGAGCGCAACCCUUAUGACUAGUUGCCAGCAUUUAGUUGGGCACUCUAGUAAGACUGCCGGUGACAAACCGGAGGAAGGUGGGGAUGACGUCAAAUCAGCAUGCCCCUUAUGACCUGGGCUACACACGUGCUACAAUGGUCGGUACAACGAGUUGCGAACCCGCGAGGGUAAGCUAAUCUCUUAAAGCCGAUCUUAGUUCGGAUUGUAGGCUGCAACUCGCCUACAUGAAGCCGGAAUCGCUAGUAAUCGCGGAUCAGCACGCCGCGGUGAAUACGUUCCCGGGCCUUGUACACACCGCCCGUCACACCAUGAGAGUUUGUAACACCCGAAGUCGGUGGGGUAACCCUUUUAGGGAACUAGCCGCCUAAGGUGGGACAGAUGAUUGGGGUG